This 254-nucleotide ribosomal RNA is filed under the name uncultured bacterium. Its description in RNAcentral is "partial 16S ribosomal RNA". It matches the Rfam family "Bacterial small subunit ribosomal RNA", at positions 524 to 776 of the family's 1533-position model. The record is from RNAcentral.
CACGUAGGGUGCGAGCGUUGUCCGGAAUUAUUGGGCGUAAAGAGCUCGUAGGCGGUGUGUCGCGUCGGCCGUGAAAACCUGCAGCUUAACUGUGGGCUUGCGGUCGAUACGGGCAUCACUGGAGUUCGGCAGGGGAGACUGGAAUUCCUGGUGUAGCGGUGAAAUGCGUAGAGAUCUGGAGGAACACCGAUGGCGAAGGCAGCCUUCUGGGCCAACACUGACGCUCAUGCACGAAAGCGUGGGGAGCAAACAGG